This 260-nucleotide ribosomal RNA is filed under the name Lactobacillus acidophilus. RNAcentral describes it as "partial 16S ribosomal RNA". It matches the Rfam family "Bacterial small subunit ribosomal RNA", at positions 91 to 357 of the family's 1533-position model. Lineage: Bacteria; Bacillati; Bacillota; Bacilli; Lactobacillales; Lactobacillaceae. The record is from RNAcentral.
CUUAGCGGCGGAUGGGUGAGUAACACGUGGGCAAUCUGCCCUAAAGACUGGGAUACCACUUGGAAACAGGUGCUAAUACCGGAUAACAACAUGAAUCGCAUGAUUCAAGUUUGAAAGGCGGCGCAAGCUGUCACUUUAGGAUGAGCCCGCGGCGCAUUAGCUAGUUGGUGGGGUAAAGGCCUACCAAGGCAAUGAUGCGUAGCCGAGUUGAGAGACUGAUCGGGAGACACGGCCCAAACUCCUACGGGAGGCAGCAGUAG